UUGUGGAGGAGGACGCCGAAGGUGGGGCUAAUGACUGGGGUGAAGUCGUAACAAGGUAGCCGUACCGGAAGGUGCGGCUGGAUCACCUCCUAACAGGGAGACAACAAAAUGUUUAAUAUUAUUAUUUUGUCACCUUAGGUCGAUCGGUAUCUCACAUCCUUAAUUUAUUAAGGAUUUCACUUCCUAAGUUUUUCUAGGUCACACCCAUUAUUUUCCUGGGCCAUUAGCUCAGGUGGUUAGAGCCCACCCCUGAUAAGGGUGAGGUCCCUGGUUCAAGUCCAGGAUGGCCCAUAUCUCUAUGUUGGGGGUAUAGCUCAGUUGGUAGAGCGCCUGCUUUGCAAGCAGGAUGUCAGCGGUUCGAGUCCGCUUACCUCCACUGAUUACCACCUCUUCCAUAAUCUGUAGAAAGGAAAUGUUUUGGGUUGUGAUCAAUUCUGAACGAAUCUAGCUUCCUAAUGAAAUCAUUAAGAUGCUGGACUCAUUGAAUUAAUUUCAUUGUUUUCAGAGAACCUUGACAACUGCAUAGAUUAUUUUUAAAGACAAUAAGCAUCUUUUAAUGAUGCAGAUUUAUUAUUGGUGCAAAUGCAUUAAUAACAAUUCUAUUAAGCUGAUGCUUCAAUUAUUGAAGUUAUUGGUCAAGCUACAA
This 646-nucleotide unclassified non-coding RNA is filed under the name uncultured Prochlorococcus sp. Its description in RNAcentral is "partial 16S-23S ribosomal RNA intergenic spacer; may also contain 16S ribosomal RNA and 23S ribosomal RNA". The stretch from base 304 to 376 matches the Rfam family "tRNA". The record is from RNAcentral. Lineage: Bacteria; Bacillati; Cyanobacteriota; Cyanophyceae; Synechococcales; Prochlorococcaceae.